UUGCUGGCAUUCAUCGACACUCGCCCCCUCUCUCCUCUCCCUCCCAUUUACACCUCCGAAAGGCAACAAAAGCAAAAAGGUCUACAGCCCAACACAUCAAAGUACACUGCACUCCUUAGCUUUUCAGCAGUAAUCUGUCACUGGAGAACGCCGACGCGUUGCUGGGCCUUCUCUUUUUCGGUUGUUGGUGCGCUGUUACUUGGCGCCUUGCUACCUACACCACCACCGCUAACACUACGCGCCCCUCCCUCCUCCCCCUCCCUCUCCUUGCCUUCUCUCUACUGCCGCGUACCGUUCUUAGUUUUACCCUCUUACUUGUAAGCACCAUUCACGCGUUAAAUCUACUCAUUUUGUACGUGUGUCGCUGUGUUGUCUCGCUCUCGCUCUCUCUCUUCUUGGUCCUCUCUCCCUUCCUCCUCGAGCACAAAACACACACGCACGCCAGAAACCUAACAAGGCCACAUACGGUUCUCUCUCCUUAAUUUCUUUUUCGGAUUCAUUCUUCGUCUACGGUGUAAGUGCUUGCCCUGCAUAAAACACGCAAGCGGCUAUCCGUAGGGGAAGGGACAGCCAUACACACACGCACACAGACACACACAGGCGCGCACGCCGAAGAAGGGACACGAAAUCUGCAACGCAGCGGUGUCGGUCUCCUUCGACGAGGUCCUUCCCGAUCUUCACCCUUAGACGCACCUUUUUUUUUUCGCAGGUUAUCGGCCUCAGCCCUCCCUGAUCGGUUAUCUUCGCUUUUCUAUCCGCCGUACGCGCACUCACACUCCCGCCUACGAGAUCGUUUUGAUUUCGAGGCACCCCUCUUGCUUGCUGUGAACUUACUUGUACUCUCCGUUGAUUUCUUCAUUUUCUGUGCGUGCUUCCUUUUUCACCCGUUCCUUGUGUAUUGCUGUUGACGGCGUCUGUGCCUGUUCGUGUAUAGGUCUACUCCCUCUCCCGCGCUUCGCCUUUUCCCGGUUGUUAGGUAGUCGACGGAUUUUGUGGCUUUUAACGAGAUCUGGAUUCGCGGCCAUUCUCGUGUCUCAUCGCCCUCUACGCUAGGCCCACCCUCGCUCUAAUCCCAGCCAUGCUGCGCAGCACGUUGCGGCGGCUGACGAAGCCGAACGUCGUGGUGCUAGGCACGGGAUGGGCCGGCUGCUACGCUGCUCACCACGUUGACCCCAACUUGUGCAACAUCCACGUCAUCUCGACUCGCAACCACAUGGUCUUCACCCCGCUGCUGCCGCAGACGACGACUGGCACGCUUGAGUUCCGCUCCGUAUGUGAGCCCAUCACGAACAUUCAGCCUGCUCUUGCAAAGCCCCCACACCGCUUCCUUCGAAGCGUCAUCUACGACGUGGAUUUCGACGAGAAGCAGGUGAAGUGUGUGGGCGUCGGCGUUGUUGGCGGCUCGGAAAAUGUGCCGGUUAACACAUUUAGCGUCCCGUAUGACUACCUCAUCAUGGCGUACGGUGCCCGCCCCAACACGUUCAACAUCCCUGGUGUGGAGGAGAAAGCGUUCUUCCUGCGUGAGGUGAACGAGGCCCGCGGCAUCCGCAAGCGCCUCGUGCAGAACAUCAUGACCGCUAAUCUUCCAACCACCUCGAUCGCGGAGGCGAAGAGGCUGCUGCACACGGUGGUCGUGGGUGGCGGUCCAACAGGUAUCGAGUUUGCCGCCAACCUCGCCGAGUUUUUCCGGGAAGACAUCAAGAACGUCAACACCUCACUGCUGCCAUACUGUAAGGUGACCGUGCUGGAGGCGGGUGAGGUACUCGGAUCCUUUGAUACCGCGCUGCGGCGAUACGGCCAGCUCCGGCUGAACCAGCUGGGUGUCGAAAUCCGCAAGACAGCCGUAGUGGGUGUGACAGACGAGGAGGUGUUCACCAAGUCAGGCGAGGUGCUGCCGACCGGGUUGGUGGUGUGGAGCACCGGUGUCGGCUCGGGUCCGGUCACGAAGGCACUGAAGUGCGACAAAACGAAUCGCGGACGCAUCUCCAUCGACGACCACUUGCGCGUUCUGCGCGAUGGCAAGCCGAUCCCGAACGUGUUUGCCGCUGGCGACUGCGCGGCCAGCAACGAGAGACCGCUGCCGACGCUGGCCGCCGUCGCCUCACGCCAGGGCCGCUACAUCGGGAAGGAGAUGAACAAUCUGCUCAAGGGAAAGCAGAUGAGCAGACCGUUUGUGUACCGCAGUCUGGGUAGCAUGGCCUCCAUCGGCAACCGCUCCGCCAUCGUCUCGCUCGGCGACAAGUUUAAGUUUGACCUGAACGGCUGUGCGGCGCUGUGGGUGUGGAAAAGCGCCUACCUCACGAUCCUCGGCUCGAUCCGCAGCAAGCUUUACGUAAUCGUGAAUUGGGCCGGCAGCCAGAUCUUCGGCCGCGAUAUCACGUACAUUGGCGACCUUGCUGAGGACCGCAUGUACUCGGCCCUGGCAGUAGAGGAGGUGUCGAAGGAGAUGAGCCGCAAGAAGACUCCCGAGAUGCUGCACGCUGUGAAUCCAGAGAGCAACUAUACCUCUUCUGUCGAGAAAGAGGGUGCUAACAAGGGAUUCCUGCCUCGAAAGCUUGGGGAGUCGACACCACUGGCUCCGCAUGGACAAGCCAUCGAGGGCUCCCAGGUGGCUCACGCAGCAGCCGCUGCCACAUCGGCCGAACCCGAAAAGAAAAUGUAGUAUGGGUGUUAUGUUGACGUGAGCGUGCGGGGGAGGAGGAUGGUUG
Molecule: unclassified non-coding RNA, 2708 nt
Filed under: Leishmania donovani
Lineage: Eukaryota; Euglenozoa; Kinetoplastea; Trypanosomatida; Trypanosomatidae
Description: gene:LdHU3.36.7490(CDS-product:NADH_dehydrogenase _putative)
Source: RNAcentral